Molecule: unclassified non-coding RNA, 501 nt
Filed under: fungal sp. acwVHT5_8
Lineage: Eukaryota; Fungi
Description: sequence contains 18S rRNA gene, ITS1, 5.8S rRNA gene, ITS2, 28S rRNA gene
Rfam family: 5.8S ribosomal RNA (bases 190-343)
Source: RNAcentral
AAGUCGUAACAAGGUUUCCGUAGGUGAACCUGCGGAAGGAUCAUUACCGUAGGGGCGUAACACCCCCUUCGAGAUAGCACCCUUGAUUUUCGAGCACCUUCUGUUUCUUCGGCGGGCCCGCCCGCCGGUGGACAACCUCAAACCCUUUAUUGCAAUAGCAGUACUCUGAUAAACAAAACAAAUAAUCAAAACUUUCAACAACGGAUCUCUUGGUUCUGGCAUCGAUGAAGAACGCAGCGAAAUGCGAUAAGUAGUGUGAAUUGCAGAAUUCAGUGAAUCAUCGAAUCUUUGAACGCACAUUGCGCCCUUUGGUAUUCCUUAGGGCAUGCCUGUUCGAGCGUCAUUUCAAACUUCAAGCCCCCCCUUUAGCUUGGUGUUGGGCGUCUGUCCUCCCCCCGGGACUCGCCUCAAAUGCAUUGGCAGCCGGCACGUUGGCUUCGAGCGCAGCAGAAACGCGCGCGGCGUCCGACGGUGCCUGGCUCUCCAGGAAGCCUCCACCUC